AGCUGAUGCAGCGACGCCGCGUGAGGGAUGACGGCCUUCGGGUUGUAAACCUCUUUCAGUAGGGAAGAAGCGAGAGUGACGGUACCUGCAGAAGAAGCGCCGGCUAACUACGUGCCAGCAGCCGCGGUAAUACGUAGGGCGCAAGCGUUGUCCGGAAUUAUUGGGCGUAAAGAGCUCGUAGGCGGUUUGUCGCGUCUGCUGUGAAAGCCCGGGGCUCAACCCCGGGUCUGCAGUGGGUACGGGCAGACUAGAGUGCAGUAGGGGAGACUGGAAUUCCUGGUGUAGCGGUGAAAUGCGCAGAUAUCAGGAGGAACACCGAUGGCGAAGGCAGGUCUCUGGGCUGUUACUGACGCUGAGGAGCGAAAGCAUGGGGAGCGAACAGGAUUAGAUACCCUGGUAGUCCAUGCCGUAAACGUUGGGCACUAGGUGUGGGGGACAUUCCACGUUUUCCGCGCCGUAGCUAACGCAUUAAGUGCCCCGCCUGGGGAGUACGGCCGCAAGGCUAAAACUCAAAGAAAUU
RNAcentral lists this ribosomal RNA (520 nucleotides) under uncultured bacterium. RNAcentral's name for it is "bacterial SSU rRNA". It matches the Rfam family "Bacterial small subunit ribosomal RNA", at positions 381 to 911 of the family's 1533-position model. The record is from RNAcentral.